RNAcentral lists this ribosomal RNA (553 nucleotides) under uncultured Spiroplasma sp. Its description in RNAcentral is "bacterial SSU rRNA". It matches the Rfam family "Bacterial small subunit ribosomal RNA", at positions 128 to 669 of the family's 1533-position model. The record is from RNAcentral. Lineage: Bacteria; Bacillati; Mycoplasmatota; Mollicutes; Entomoplasmatales; Spiroplasmataceae.
ACCAUUUAGUGGGGAAUAACUGUUGGAAACGACAGCUAAUACCGCAUAAUAUUGCUGGAUAAUUUCCAGUAAUGAAAGGAGCUUUCAAGCUCCGCUGAUUGAUGAGGAUGCGGCGCAUUAGCUAGUUGGUAGGGUAAUGGCCUACCAAGGCAAUGAUGCGUAGCCGAUCUGAGAGGAUGAACGGCCACAUUGGGACUGAGACACGGCCCAAACUUCUACGGAAGGCAGCAGUAGGGAAUUUUUCACAAUGGGCGAAAGCCUGAUGGAGCAAUGCCGCGUGACUGAUGAAGGUCUUCGGAUUGUAAAGGUCUGUUGUAAGGGAAGAAAUGGUAAAACAGGAAAUGGUUUUAUCUAUGACGGUACCUUACCAGAAAGCCACGGCUAACUAUGUGCCAGCAGCCGCGGUAAUACAUAGGUGGCAAGCGUUAUCCGGAUUUAUUGGGCGUAAAGGGUGCGUANACGGUUUUGCAAGUCUGANGUUAAAUUUAGGAGCUCAACUCCUAAUCGCCUUNNAAACUACAAGACUAGAGUAUAGGAGAGGUUAGUGGAAUUC